RNAcentral lists this ribosomal RNA (234 nucleotides) under uncultured bacterium. RNAcentral describes it as "partial 16S ribosomal RNA". It matches the Rfam family "Bacterial small subunit ribosomal RNA", at positions 118 to 350 of the family's 1533-position model. The record is from RNAcentral.
UGGGCAACCUGCCCCUCUCUCUGGGAUAACCCCGGGAAAACCGGAGCUAAUACCGGAUACUCCGGCUGGAUCGCAUGGUCCGGCCGGGAAAGGUCCGCCGGAGAGGGAUGGGCCCGCGGCCUAUCAGCUUGUUGGUGAGGUAACGGCCCACCAAGGCUUCGACGGGUAGCUGGUCUGAGAGGAUGGCCAGCCACAUUGGGACUGAGACACGGCCCAGACUCCGUACGGGAGGCA